RNAcentral lists this ribosomal RNA (2569 nucleotides) under Escherichia coli. RNAcentral's name for it is "partial 23S ribosomal RNA". It matches the Rfam family "Bacterial large subunit ribosomal RNA", at positions 375 to 2925 of the family's 2925-position model. The record is from RNAcentral. Lineage: Bacteria; Pseudomonadati; Pseudomonadota; Gammaproteobacteria; Enterobacterales; Enterobacteriaceae.
GUACACAAAAAUGCACAUGCUGUGAGCUCGAUGAGUAGGGCGGGACACGUGGUAUCCUGUCUGAAUAUGGGGGGACCAUCCUCCAAGGCUAAAUACUCCUGACUGACCGAUAGUGAACCAGUACCGUGAGGGAAAGGCGAAAAGAACCCCGGCGAGGGGAGUGAAAAAGAACCUGAAACCGUGUACGUACAAGCAGUGGGAGCACGCUUAGGCGUGUGACUGCGUACCUUUUGUAUAAUGGGUCAGCGACUUAUAUUCUGUAGCAAGGUUAACCGAAUAGGGGAGCCGAAGGGAAACCGAGUCUUAACUGGGCGUUAAGUUGCAGGGUAUAGACCCGAAACCCGGUGAUCUAGCCAUGGGCAGGUUGAAGGUUGGGUAACACUAACUGGAGGACCGAACCGACUAAUGUUGAAAAAUUAGCGGAUGACUUGUGGCUGGGGGUGAAAGGCCAAUCAAACCGGGAGAUAGCUGGUUCUCCCCGAAAGCUAUUUAGGUAGCGCCUCGUGAAUUCAUCUCCGGGGGUAGAGCACUGUUUCGGCAAGGGGGUCAUCCCGACUUACCAACCCGAUGCAAACUGCGAAUACCGGAGAAUGUUAUCACGGGAGACACACGGCGGGUGCUAACGUCCGUCGUGAAGAGGGAAACAACCCAGACCGCCAGCUAAGGUCCCAAAGUCAUGGUUAAGUGGGAAACGAUGUGGGAAGGCCCAGACAGCCAGGAUGUUGGCUUAGAAGCAGCCAUCAUUUAAAGAAAGCGUAAUAGCUCACUGGUCGAGUCGGCCUGCGCGGAAGAUGUAACGGGGCUAAACCAUGCACCGAAGCUGCGGCAGCGACACUGUGUGUUGUUGGGUAGGGGAGCGUUCUGUAAGCCUGCGAAGGUGUGCUGUGAGGCAUGCUGGAGGUAUCAGAAGUGCGAAUGCUGACAUAAGUAACGAUAAAGCGGGUGAAAAGCCCGCUCGCCGGAAGACCAAGGGUUCCUGUCCAACGUUAAUCGGGGCAGGGUGAGUCGACCCCUAAGGCGAGGCCGAAAGGCGUAGUCGAUGGGAAACAGGUUAAUAUUCCUGUACUUGGUGUUACUGCGAAGGGGGGACGGAGAAGGCUAUGUUGGCCGGGCGACGGUUGUCCCGGUUUAAGCGUGUAGGCUGGUUUUCCAGGCAAAUCCGGAAAAUCAAGGCUGAGGCGUGAUGACGAGGCACUACGGUGCUGAAGCAACAAAUGCCCUGCUUCCAGGAAAAGCCUCUAAGCAUCAGGUAACAUCAAAUCGUACCCCAAACCGACACAGGUGGUCAGGUAGAGAAUACCAAGGCGCUUGAGAGAACUCGGGUGAAGGAACUAGGCAAAAUGGUGCCGUAACUUCGGGAGAAGGCACGCUGAUAUGUAGGUGAAGUCCCUCGCGGAUGGAGCUGAAAUCAGUCGAAGAUACCAGCUGGCUGCAACUGUUUAUUAAAAACACAGCACUGUGCAAACACGAAAGUGGACGUAUACGGUGUGACGCCUGCCCGGUGCCGGAAGGUUAAUUGAUGGGGUCAGCGCAAGCGAAGCUCUUGAUCGAAGCCCCGGUAAACGGCGGCCGUAACUAUAACGGUCCUAAGGUAGCGAAAUUCCUUGUCGGGUAAGUUCCGACCUGCACGAAUGGCGUAAUGAUGGCCAGGCUGUCUCCACCCGAGACUCAGUGAAAUUGAACUCGCUGUGAAGAUGCAGUGUACCCGCGGCAAGACGGAAAGACCCCGUGAACCUUUACUAUAGCUUGACACUGAACAUUGAGCCUUGAUGUGUAGGAUAGGUGGGAGGCUUUGAAGUGUGGACGCCAGUCUGCAUGGAGCCGACCUUGAAAUACCACCCUUUAAUGUUUGAUGUUCUAACGUUGACCCGUGAUCCGGGUUGCGGACAGUGUCUGGUGGGUAGUUUGACUGGGGCGGUCUCCUCCUAAAGAGUAACGGAGGAGCACGAAGGUUGGCUAAUCCUGGUCGGACAUCAGGAGGUUAGUGCAAUGGCAUAAGCCAGCUUGACUGCGAGCGUGACGGCGCGAGCAGGUGCGAAAGCAGGUCAUAGUGAUCCGGUGGUUCUGAAUGGAAGGGCCAUCGCUCAACGGAUAAAAGGUACUCCGGGGAUAACAGGCUGAUACCGCCCAAGAGUUCAUAUCGACGGCGGUGUUUGGCACCUCGAUGUCGGCUCAUCACAUCCUGGGGCUGAAGUAGGUCCCAAGGGUAUGGCUGUUCGCCAUUUAAAGUGGUACGCGAGCUGGGUUUAGAACGUCGUGAGACAGUUCGGUCCCUAUCUGCCGUGGGCGCUGGAGAACUGAGGGGGGCUGCUCCUAGUACGAGAGGACCGGAGUGGACGCAUCACUGGUGUUCGGGUUGUCAUGCCAAUGGCACUGCCCGGUAGCUAAAUGCGGAAGAGAUAAGUGCUGAAAGCAUCUAAGCACGAAACUUGCCCCGAGAUGAGUUCUCCCUGACUCCUUGAGAGUCCUGAAGGAACGUUGAAGACGACGACGUUGAUAGGCCGGGUGUGUAAGCGCAGCGAUGCGUUGAGCUAACCGGUACUAAUGAACCGUGAGGCUUAACCUUACA